GCCUUGCUAGCUCAAUGGUAGAGCAUCAGACUCUUACAGUCCCUCUGACCCAGCAAGAGUCUGGAGGCUGUGGGUUCGAUCCCUGUGAGAGGCA
Molecule: non-coding RNA, 94 nt
Organism: Hysterangium stoloniferum
Lineage: Eukaryota; Fungi; Basidiomycota; Agaricomycetes; Hysterangiales; Hysterangiaceae
Source: the annotation of a GenBank genome assembly